AACGAACGCUGGCGGCGUGCCUAACACAUGCAAGUCGAACGAGAAAGCCCUUCGGGGUGAGUACAGUGGCGCACGGGUGAGUAAUGCAUAGGAACAUGCCUUUUAGUGGGGAAUAACGUCGGGAAACCGACGCUAAUACCGCAUACACUGGCAACAGUAAAGGUGGCCUCUAUUUAUAAGCUACCGCUAAUAGAGUGGCCUAUGUCCCAUUAGCUUGUUGGUAAGGUAAAGGCUUACCAAGGCGACGAUGGGUAGCUGGUCUGAGAGGAUGAUCAGCCACACUGGAACUGAGACACGGUCCAGACUCCUACGGGGCAGCAGUGGGGAAUAUUGCACAAUGGGGGAAACCCUGAUGCAGCAACGCCGCGUGAGUGAAGAAGGCUCUCGGGUCGUAAAGCUCUUUCGGCUUGGGAAGCAGGGUAGUAUGGUGAAACAAUCAUGCUACUUGACGGUACCAGAAGAAGAAGCACCGGCUAAC
This 478-nucleotide ribosomal RNA is filed under the name uncultured bacterium. Its description in RNAcentral is "bacterial SSU rRNA". It matches the Rfam family "Bacterial small subunit ribosomal RNA", at positions 29 to 501 of the family's 1533-position model. The record is from RNAcentral.